Molecule: long non-coding RNA, 429 nt
Organism: Gadus chalcogrammus (walleye pollock)
Lineage: Eukaryota; Metazoa; Chordata; Actinopteri; Gadiformes; Gadidae
Exons: 3
Source: RefSeq, a predicted model, not a curated record
UCCUGGUGGGGCUGGGUUUGGACCAGGUGGGGCCGGAUCAGUUCCUGGUGGGGCUGGGUAUGGACCAGGUGGAGCUGGAUAUGGACCAGGAGGAGGAGCAGGUACAAGAGCUGGAGGGUAUGAUGCCAACGCCAAAGCCCGUAAAUAUGGUAUGUUAAGUGGAGGACUUGGAGGAGGACUAGGAGCAGGAACAGGUGGAGCUGGACCUGGUGGUGCUGGUUAUGGACCAGCUGGGAGUGGGACCGGUGGUGGGACCAGACCUGGAGCCGGGGUUGGACCUGGUGGAACCGGAACAGGAUAUGGACCCGGGGGUGGAGCCGGAACUGGUUCUGCUGGCACUGGAACUGGCCUUGGACCAGGAAGUGGAGGGGCAGGCUACGGACCUGGUCGAGGUGCUGGGGUUGGACCAGGUGGGGCCGGAUCAGUUGC